Sordaria macrospora k-hell is the source of this 90-nucleotide non-coding RNA. The record is from the annotation of a RefSeq genome assembly. NCBI's taxonomy places the organism in Eukaryota, Fungi, Ascomycota, Sordariomycetes, Sordariales, Sordariaceae.
UGUUGCGAGUUCGAGUCUCGCCGUGGGCGGCUUGAUUUUCUUUUUUUUUCGCUUUUUCUGCUUUGAUUUCCCAUGAUCCAUUUGGCCGAU